CAGCCGCCGCGGUAAUACAGAGGGUGCGAGCGUUAAUCGGAUUUACUGGGCGUAAAGCGUGCGUAGGCGGCUUUUUAAGUCGGAUGUGAAAUCCCUGAGCUUAACUUAGGAAUUGCAUUCGAUACUGGGAAGCUAGAGUAUGGGAGAGGAUGGUAGAAUUCCAGGUGUAGCUGUGAAAUGCGUAGAGAUCUGGAGGAAUACCGAUGGCGAAGGCAGCCAUCUGGCCUAAUACUGACGCUGAGGUACGAAAGCAUGGUGAGCAAACAGGAUUAGAUACCCGCGUAGUCCCUGUCUCUUAUAC
This 301-nucleotide ribosomal RNA is filed under the name uncultured bacterium. RNAcentral describes it as "partial 16S ribosomal RNA". It matches the Rfam family "Bacterial small subunit ribosomal RNA", at positions 509 to 807 of the family's 1533-position model. The record is from RNAcentral.